UACGUAGGGUGCGAGCGUUAAUCGGAAUUACUGGGCGUAAAGCGUGCGCAGGCGGUGAUGUAAGACCGAUGUGAAAUCCCCGGGCUCAACCUGGGAAUGGCAUUUGGGACUGCAAGGCUUGAGUGCGGCAGAGGAGACUGGAAUUCCUGGUGUAGCAGUGAAAUGCGUAGAUAUCAGGAGGAAUACCGAUGGCGAAGGCAGGUCUCUGGGCUGACACUGACGCUCAUGCACGAAAGCGUGGGGAGCAAACAGG
This 253-nucleotide ribosomal RNA is filed under the name uncultured bacterium. Its description in RNAcentral is "partial 16S ribosomal RNA". It matches the Rfam family "Bacterial small subunit ribosomal RNA", at positions 524 to 776 of the family's 1533-position model. The record is from RNAcentral.